Molecule: ribosomal RNA, 457 nt
Filed under: uncultured bacterium
Lineage: Bacteria
Description: partial 16S ribosomal RNA
Rfam family: Bacterial small subunit ribosomal RNA
Source: RNAcentral
CCUACGGGAGGCAGCAGUGGGGAAUAUUGCACAAUGGGGGAAACCCUGAUGCAGCGACGCCGCGUGAGUGAAGAAGUAUUUCGGUACGUAAAGCUCUAUCAGCAGGGAAGAAAAAAAGUCCUUUGGACUUUGGACGGUACCUGACUAAGAAGCCCCGGCUCACUACGUGCCAGCAGCCGCGGUAAUACGUAGGGGGCAAGCGUUAUCCGGUUUUACUGGGUGUAAAGGGAGCGUAGGCGGCAGCGCAAGUCUGGAGUGAAAUGCCGGGGCCCAACCCCGGAACUGCUUUGGAACCUGGGCAGCUGGAGUGCAGGAGAGGUAAGCGGAAUUCCUAGUGUAGCGGUGAAAUGCGUAGAUAUUAGGAGGAACACCAGUGGCGAAGGCGGCUUACUGGACUGUAACUGACGUUGAGGCUCGAAAGCGUGGGGAGCAAACAGGAUUAGAUACCCGAGUAGUC